RNAcentral lists this transfer RNA (72 nucleotides) under Bos taurus (domestic cattle). It matches the Rfam family "tRNA". From Rfam's summary of the family: Transfer RNA (tRNA) molecules are approximately 80 nucleotides in length. Their secondary structure includes four short double-helical elements and three loops (D, anti-codon, and T loops). Lineage: Eukaryota; Metazoa; Chordata; Mammalia; Artiodactyla; Bovidae. RNAcentral also lists the same sequence under 4 other names. The record is from Rfam by way of RNAcentral.
UCCCUGGUGGCUUAGAUCAUAAAGAAUCUGCCUGUAAUGCAGAAGACCCAGGUUUGAUCCCUGGGUUGGGAA